UCAUAAAUGCCAGCAAAAAAUCUUCACUGGAGACACUAACCACUCAUUUUGGGGGUUGGGUGCUGGAGAAAUGUUCAUUGUUUGGUGCCUAGUAAGAAGCUUUGAUGAGCUUGAGAUAUGCUGAAGUCCUUUCACAAUGCUAUGAUCAAUUGCUGGAUCAAAGUACAUGUAGAGUUUGAUAGUCCUUUGGGCAUAAUUCUAAAUUGUUCUCUCCAAUGGCUGGAUCAGUUAAAAACUUCCAUCAGUAGUGGUUUUCCCUCAUUUUCCCACAGCCCUUCGUGUAUGCAUCAUUUUCCAUUUUUUUGUCAGAUUAUUCAGUCAGCUAGAUAUUAAAGGCUUAAACAUGUAAGUGUGAUCACUAGAGUUCUAUAGUCUAAUUGCAUUCUUCCUCUAAUUAUCCCAUUUUCACGAUGCUUUAUGAGGGGAAUGGAAUUCAUGAAAGAUUAAGCAAAAAUCCAGUGAUUGAAUAGUAAGAUAGAAUACAAUAAAUAAAAUAAGUAAAGAUUUCAUCUCUGUAAAUCAAGAGAAUAUGUGGAAUGUAAUGGGCAUAGGGGAGUGGAGAGUAGUUUAUUCCUUAUUUUUAAAUUGCAAGGCUAUACUUGACAUGGAAAUCAGGUUAGGGUUGAUUACAAUUGCUAUCCCAGGCCAUUCACUACUCUAUCCCCCUCCAUGGAGCUUUAGAGAGGAAAGUGGGGGUAGGUGAAGCAAUACAACAAAUUCCUAGUAAAAUAAGAGGAUGGGUAGUUUGUACAUCAGGAUAAAUUAGGCGCAACUGUGUAUGUAUGGGUGGAGGGUAUCAUUUAUUUGCAAUUCCAGCCUCCUACAUGAAAUAAGAAACAACUCCGGAGAAUCAUUCACCAUACCAACUACUGUUCACUCUCUUACUUGGCACAACUUCAUAGAUAAUUAUGGAGAAAUAAUCUCAAGGAGGUCACACAUACACAAUAUGCAAAAGCCAGAUUCACACCAGGAACUUGAUGCUAGAAUUAUAUUUGGGUUAGAGAAAGGGGAUUACAAGGAUUAAUAGUGAUGGUCUUCUCAAUACUUCAGUUGGUUCAAGAAGUUCUCUGACUUAUCUACAGCA
Molecule: long non-coding RNA, 1084 nt
Organism: Antechinus flavipes (yellow-footed antechinus)
Lineage: Eukaryota; Metazoa; Chordata; Mammalia; Dasyuromorphia; Dasyuridae
Exons: 2
Source: RefSeq, a predicted model, not a curated record